Molecule: ribosomal RNA, 118 nt
Filed under: uncultured bacterium
Lineage: Bacteria
Description: partial 16S ribosomal RNA
Rfam family: Bacterial small subunit ribosomal RNA
Source: RNAcentral
GGAUUAGCUAGUAGGUGGGGUAACGGCUCACCUAGGCGACGAUCCCUAGCUGGUCUGAGAGGAUGACCAGCCACACUGGAACUGAGACACGGUCCAGACUCCUACGGGAGGCAGCAUG